Long non-coding RNA from Mauremys reevesii (Reeves's turtle), 639 nucleotides. RefSeq lists it as uncharacterized. The transcript has 3 exons. NCBI's taxonomy places the organism in Eukaryota, Metazoa, Chordata, Testudines, Geoemydidae. The record is from RefSeq and is a predicted model, not a curated record.
GAUGCCGUUUCCACGCGUGAGCGCGAACCGCGCUGUGCUUGAUUAGGGGGCGUCGAGCCGGAUCUGCUCGCGGGGACACCAGGACAACCCCACCCGCGGGCCAUGCCCUGCUUGCUGCGGCUGCUGCAGAAGGGAGAGCGCCACUGGGCUGCAAUAAUGUUACCUCCAGCCCACCGUCUAGUUAUUACUUUGUGACUCUCUGGGGUUCAAGCUGGGUCCACAGUAACCAGCGUUUGAAUGAGUUUGACCUAUCCUGGUGCACCAGAACAUGCCCAGAGCGCACCUGGAACAACAACAACAACAACAAACUUUCACCGCGCACAGACGCUUCAAUGCAACUAUCAACAUUGCAAUGGGACUAAUCAGACAAGGGUUUUUGUUAGGGUCCAUUUAUUUUCAAGCUUUUCUCUGCAACACGAAAGGAAAAACAGCAAAUAUUGCAGGACUCAGGAGAGGACUGAAAGUGCUGGAAACACUGAAAAGAUAAGUGAAAGCAUCUGGAGCAGUUGCAGAUGAGAUCAGCUCAUAGCUGGGACAGAACAGAAUGCUGCUGAUUUGGAAGCAGGUGUUUGCAUCACAAAAUCUUGGGUCAGCAUGGAAGUGUUCAAGGAUGCUAUUUUUCAAACUGACUCCAGCCAA